Molecule: ribosomal RNA, 287 nt
Filed under: uncultured bacterium
Lineage: Bacteria
Description: partial 16S ribosomal RNA
Rfam family: Bacterial small subunit ribosomal RNA
Source: RNAcentral
AGCGAACGCUGGCGGUAUGCUUAACACAUGCAAGUCGAGCGCGAAAGUGACUUCGGUCAUGAGUAGAGCGGCGGACGGGUGAGUAACACGUGGAUAAUCUGCCUUUAGGACUGGGAUAACCCUGGGAAACUAGGGCUAAUACCGGAUAAGACCACAGGUUCCAUGGAACCAGGGGUAAAAGGCGGCCUUCGGGCUGUCGCCGAAAGAUGAGUCCGCGUCCCAUCAGGUAGUUGGUGAGGUAACGGCUCACCAAGCCGAAGACGGGUAGCCGACCUUAGCGGGUGAUC